This 440-nucleotide ribosomal RNA is filed under the name uncultured bacterium. Its description in RNAcentral is "partial 16S ribosomal RNA". It matches the Rfam family "Bacterial small subunit ribosomal RNA", at positions 338 to 795 of the family's 1533-position model. The record is from RNAcentral.
GCUACGGGGGGCAGCAGUGGGGAAUAUUGCACAAUGGGGGAAACCCUGAUGCAGCGAUGCCGCGUGGAGGAAGAAGGUUUUCGGAUUGUAAACUCCUUUUAUCAGGGACGAUAAUGACGGUACCUGAAGAAAAAGCUCCGGCUAACUACGUGCCAGCAGCCGCGGUAAUACGUAGGGAGCGAGCGUUGUCCGGAAUUACUGGGUGUAAAGGGAGCGUAGGCGGGACGGCAAGUCAGAUGUGAAAACUGAGGGCUCAACUUUCAGACUGCAUUUGAAACUGCUGUUCUUGAGUGAAGUAGAGGUAAGCGGAAUUCCUAGUGUAGCGGUGAAAUGCGUAGAUAUUAGGAGGAACAUCGGUGGCGAAGGCAGCUUACUAAACUGCCACUGACAUUGAUGCUCGAAAGUGUGGGUAUCAAACAGGAUUAGAUACCCGAGUAGUC